RNAcentral lists this long non-coding RNA (3224 nucleotides) under Mus musculus (house mouse). Its description in RNAcentral is "long non-coding RNA chr14:89896223-89899447". Lineage: Eukaryota; Metazoa; Chordata; Mammalia; Rodentia; Muridae. The record is from RNAcentral.
UUAUGGAGAUUUUAUUUCCUUUAUUUGAGAAACUUAAGUCUUGGGUACAUCAAAACCAAUUUCUGGGAUGAGGGAAAAAAAAAACCAGAACCCAUAAUAGAAAAAAAAAGUUAUCAUCUGGGUCACAACAGAACCCAGAGAAUAUAUUCUUAUAAUUGAAAAAAUUAUAGGUGCUUCAUAAUUGACCUUCUGAUACAAAAUGACCUAUUGAAUUUGCAACUUGGUUCUUGGUGUGGAGGUCCACAGACAAACUAGGAUGUCUUCAGACCUUAGCUGGAUGCCAUGAGGGGUUAUUUGGCUUUCGACUCUUUUUUUCUUGUCUAAGAGGUAGCAGCAGCAACAGUGCCCACCUUCUGGGCAGCUUCUUUCUUGGCAUGGUGAGCCUGCAGGACUGCCACCGCUUCAUCUACCUUGGAGCGGAGGGACUCGGGGGACUCCAGCAUGUGCAGCAGCUCAGAGUUGUCGAUUUCCAGCAGCAUCCCGGUGAUUUUCCCAGCCAGGUUUGAAUGCAUUGUUUGGAUAAGCGGGAACAGACGCUCCCCCAGCAUCUGCUUCUGCUCCUGAGGGGGCGCUGCAGCAAGCAUGGAGGCAGUCAGGGGCUCCUGACCCUGGACGUGGACUGCAGGCUGGGGGGCCUGCAGCGGCUGGAUGGCAGGGUGUGGGCUGCGGACACUGGAGGCGUACUUGUAUGGAGCCACAGCCCUGGGAGCGGCGGCAGCAACUGCGGCCCGAGGUGCAAGGUUUGGCACGGCUCCAGACUGGCAGCUGUCAGUCAGCCCUUGCUGGGCGGCACCAGCCCCACCAAAGUCCAUAGCCAAGCGGUCCGGGCACUCAGACCCAGUUGGAGCCAGAUGUCGAAGAGCUGGACGAGGCCCAGACUGCCGCAGGGCACUUGGCAUUCCUUGGAAGCCUUGAGGUCUCCCGCCUUGCUGCCAGCGUGGAUUAGGCCUCAUCUGUGCUAACUGGUUAGGCGUGUAAUAUGGGGGUCUUCCCUGAGCCUGCGGAACUGCAGGCACAAAAUAGCCACCAGCUGCAGGCUGGAACUGAUUUAAGAUGGCACUGGCAGGGAGUGCUCUCAUCCCCGCCACACGCUGCAUGUACUGGUUAGUCAGGUGAGCCUUCCGCUCUUCCUUCCUCUGGGCCAGGGCGACGUACAGAGGCUUGGAGCCCACAAUGCGUCCAUUCAUCUCGGUGACAGCUUUGGUCGCCUCUUCAGGAGAGGAGAAACAGACAAAGCCAAACCCUUUGCUUCUCCCAUCUUCUAGCAUCACCUUCGCACUGGUGAUUGAUCCAAAGGGAGAAAACUCUUUCCUUAAUUUCUCAUCAUCAAUGGUGUCAUCCAAGUUCUUAAUGUAGAGAUUCACCCCCUGGUACCGGCUAAUCCUCUCCUGCUUGAGCUGCUCAAACUUCCGCUUUAGCUCAGCCUGCCUUUCUACCUUUUUCUGUGCACGGCCUACAAAUAUGGCUUUCCCGCUCAUUUCCUUUCCAUUCAUUUCUUCCACAGCCUUAUUGGCAUCCUCGUGUUUCUCGUAACUUACAAAGCCAAAGCCUUUGGACUUCCCACUGGAGUCUCUCAUCACCUUGACACUUAGGGUCUUACCAAACUGGCUGAAGAGCUCUUUCAGAUUCCCAUCAUCCACCUCUUCUCCAAAGUUUUUGAUAUAAACAUUGGUGAAUUCCUUGGCCUUGGCUCCAAGCUCCGCUUCCCGCUCUUUGCGAGACUUGAAUCUACCCACGAACACUUUACGGUCAUUGAGAAGCAUGCCAUUCAUCUUCUCGAUGGCCUUGUCGGCGGCCUCUUGGGUCUCGAAGUGAACAAAAGCAUAGCCCUUAGAGCCGUUCUCAUCACAGACCACCUUACAGGACAAGAUGUUUCCAAAGGCAGAGAAAGUGUCAUACAGUGCCUUGUUGUCUAUGGAUUUGUCCAGGUUCUUGAUGAAGACAUUCCCAACCCCAGAUUUUCUCAACGAGGGAUCCCUCUGCGACCACAUGAUGCGGAUCGGCUUUCCCUUCAUCACGUCGAAGUUCAUGGUGUCCAAGGCCCUCUCAGCGUCAGCUGGCUGCUGGAAGUUGACGUAGGCAUAACCCAGAGAGCGCCGGGUGAUCAUAUCGCGACAGACCCGGAUGGACAGCACAGGCCCCGCAGGGCUAAACUUUUCAUACAGCAUGGCUUCGGUGACGUCCGAGUGCAAAUCGCCCACGUAUAAGGAGGCCAUGGGGUAGCUGCUGGCUGCAGCAUUCAUCUCCCCACCCCCCACGACCCCGAGCCCCGCCAGGAGGACUUCUAACAAGGCCUACUGCAGGACAAAAGGGGCUCCGAGGAGCUAUGGCACGCGCCGCAGCGCACAGGUGGCACCAGCGACACCGGAGAAGGCUGGAGCAGGGAGGCUCCGAGCCGGGACCCGUGUGCCGGACGACUUGCACGGGACUGCAAAAGCCCCAAGACAAAAGGCUCUCAAAAACAAUAUGGCCCGCUCCUGGAGUUUGUACUCUCCAGCUGUCCUGGCUUGAGGCUUAAAAAAUAAAAAUUAAAGUAGGAAAUCCCCUCGUAAAAGGGGCAAAAAAUUUUCAAGAGGCAAUCAGAUGCUGCGCUCACGGCCGCCUUGGGAACACGCGUUUCGUGAUAAAUAUAGGCCCCGGACUCCCGGCGGUUUACAGUUACAGCAGCCCGGGAAGGGGGAAACCAAAUCUUUGCGGGUGCCGGCGAAGGGCAGUGCGGACACGUGGUGCGGCCAGCCGGGACGCGGGGCUGCCACGCGGCGCAGAGGCGUGCAGGGGCGGGCCGGGCCGAGGGGGAUGGCUCACCACCGGACGGACAGACAGACGCUGACGGACAGGCAGGCCGGAAGCUGUGAAAGUCACUUCCCCACGGGCUCCCAGCACAAGUCGCUGUCUGGUUCUUUUUCUUCUUUUUUUCCCUUUUGCUUUUUUUUUUUUUUUCCUCUUCUUUUCUUUUCUUUUUUUUUUUUAAGGUUUUUGAGGCUUUUGUAUUUUUUUUAAGCUUUUUCUUUUUUCUGCUUCAGGCUUGCUGAGCCCAAACGCAACACUGACGGCUGCGACCCGGGGCGGAGAGAGCCAGGAACUCUAUUACUAUCAAUUUCAAAUGACAUCUAAAAACUUGAACAUGUAAAAUUAGCCUUUAUCAUUAUACUAUUCAUUGGAAAAACAGACUUACAAAAAAAACUGAUGUAAAUUUUGUGUAAAAUAAAAUUGCUUUUGAGAUC